GCCAGCCCGCUCAGAAACUCAAUGAAUUGACGGGGCCCGCACAAGCGGAGGAGCAUGUGGUUUAAUUCGAUGAUACGCGAGGAACCUUACCUGGGCUCGAACGUAAGAUGACUGUAGGUGAAAGCUUACAUCUCUUCGGAGCAUUUUACGAGGUGCUGCAUGGUUGUCGUCAGCUCGUGCCGUGAGGUGUCGGGUUAAGUCCCAUAACGAGCGCAACCCCUACCUUUAGUUGCCAUCAGGUAAUGCUGGGGACUCUAAAGGAACUGCCUACGCAAGUAGUGAGGAAGGCGGGGAUGACGUCAAAUCAGCACGGCCCUUACGUCCAGGGCUACACACGUGCUACAAUGGCCGAUACAGAGGGCAGCUACCUGGUGACAGGAUGCAAAUCUCCAAAGUCGGUCUCAGUUCGGAUCGGAGUCUGCAACCCGACUCCGUGAAGUUGGAUUCGCUAGUAAUCGCGCAUCAGCCAUGGCGCGGUGAAUACGUUCCCGGGCCUU
This 497-nucleotide ribosomal RNA is filed under the name uncultured Sphingobacteriales bacterium. Its description in RNAcentral is "bacterial SSU rRNA". It matches the Rfam family "Bacterial small subunit ribosomal RNA", at positions 904 to 1382 of the family's 1533-position model. Lineage: Bacteria; Pseudomonadati; Bacteroidota; Sphingobacteriia; Sphingobacteriales. The record is from RNAcentral.